GAUUGAACGCUGGCGGCAUGCCUUACACAUGCAAGUCGAACGGCAGCGGGGGUAGCUUGCUACUGCCGGCGAGUGGCGAACGGGUGAGUAAUACAUCGGAACGUGCCCUGUAGUGGGGGAUAACUAGUCGAAAGACUGGCUAAUACCGCAUACGACCUGAGGGUGAAAGUGGGGGACCGCAAGGCCUCAUGCUAUAGGAGCGGCCGAUGUCUGAUUAGCUAGUUGGUGGGGUAAAGGCCUACCAAGGCGACGAUCAGUAGCUGGUCUGAGAGGACGAUCAGCCACACUGGGACUGAGACACGGCCCAGACUCCUACGGGAGGCAGCAGUGGGGAAUUUUGGACAAUGGGGGCAACCCUGAUCCAGCAAUGCCGCGUGUGUGAAGAAGGCCUUCGGGUUGUAAAGCACUUUUGUCCGGAAAGAAAUCGCUUCGGUUAAUACCUGGAGUGGAUGACGGUACCGGAAGAAUAAGGACCGGCUAACUACGUGCCAGCAGCCGCGGUAAUACGUAGGGUCCAAGCGUUAAUCGGAAUUACUGGGCGUAAAGCGUGCGCAGGCGGUUGUGCAAGACCGAUGUGAAAUCCCCGGGCUUAACCUGGGAAUUGCAUUGGUGACUGCACGGCUAGAGUGUGUCAGAGGGAGGUAGAAUUCCACGUGUAGCAGUGAAAUGCGUAGAGAUGUGGAGGAAUACCGAUGGCGAAGGCAGCCUCCUGGGAUAACACUGACGCUCAUGCACGAAAGCGUGGGGAGCAAACAGGAUUAGAUACCCUGGUAGUCCACGCCCUAAACGAUGUCAACUAGUUGUUGGGGAUUCAUUUCCUUAGUAACGUAGCUAACGCGUGAAGUUGACCGCCUGGGGAGUACGGUCGCAAGAUUAAAACUCAAAGGAAUUGACGGGGACCCGCACAAGCGGUGGAUGAUGUGGAUUAAUUCGAUGCAACGCGAAAAACCUUACCUACCCUUGACAUCUAGAGAGACUGCCGGUGACAAACCGGAGGAAGGUGGGGAUGACGUCAAGUCCUCAUGGCCCUUAUGGGUAGGGCUUCACACGUCAUACAAUGGUGCAUACAGAGGGUUGCCAAGCCGCGAGGUGGAGCUAAUCCCAGAAAAUGCAUCGUAGUCCGGAUCGUAGUCUGCAACUCGACUACGUGAAGCUGGAAUCGCUAGUAAUCGCGGAUCAGCAUGCCGCGGUGAAUACGUUCCCGGGUCUUGUACACACCGCCCGUCACACCAUGGGAGUGGGUUUUGCCAGAAGUAGUUAGCCUAACCGUAAGGGGGGCGAUUACCACGGCAGGGUUCAUGACUGGGGUGAAGUCGUAACAAGGUAGCCGUAUCGGAAGGUGCGG
RNAcentral lists this ribosomal RNA (1345 nucleotides) under Ralstonia solanacearum. Its description in RNAcentral is "bacterial SSU rRNA". It matches the Rfam family "Bacterial small subunit ribosomal RNA". Lineage: Bacteria; Pseudomonadati; Pseudomonadota; Betaproteobacteria; Burkholderiales; Burkholderiaceae. The record is from RNAcentral.